RNAcentral lists this microRNA precursor (143 nucleotides) under Pelodiscus sinensis (Chinese soft-shelled turtle). RNAcentral's name for it is "microRNA 128-1 (ENSPSIG00000019456.1)". The stretch from base 49 to 129 matches the Rfam family "mir-128 microRNA precursor family". The record is from RNAcentral. Lineage: Eukaryota; Metazoa; Chordata; Testudines; Trionychidae.
AGUGAAGCUAUAUUUUGUAAAGGUGUGGAAUGGUUUGGCCUUCUUCAUGAGCUGUUGGAUUCGGGGCCGUAACACUGUCUGAGAGAGUUACAUUUCUCACAGUGAACCGGUCUCUUUUUCAGCUGCUUCCUCACUUCCUUUUA